AGGUCAGUAAAUAUGCAUGUGGUUUAUAUGCAACCAGAGGCCUCCUACACAAGUGCAAACAGCUGACUGCAAACCGUAAUGCUGCCAUAUAUGUCUCAGAUCUACCACUGCCAGACACUUCCAUGUAUGUUGAUGUUUCUGGCUUAGAAAAGGGAAAUGGGGAGUACCUUCAAGAUGUACAGGAGUCAGAGCUUCAUUCCAGAGGGGAGAAAACCUGAAAUAUUUAUAACGUUCACACUGCAGACCAUUUUUAGAAGAUACACUAAGGAGGAAGGACCUUGAAUACAGUUUUCAGACACCUCUGCAGUACCAUGGCUUACUAAGAUCACCAGGAAUGUACACUUUCAGUAAGAAGAAAAAAGAGGAACAGAAGUUCAGAGAAUGAGAAAACAAUUUGACUUUAAAUGAGAGAGGGAGAGGGAGAAAGGCUGCACAUUGCCAUAUCUUGUAGGAUGCUGGUGCUACCCAGGAGGAAGGAGGGUAGCAGAGGGUGGAGAGAGUAAAUGGCACCUCCACCUUUCUUUUCUGAAAUAUGUGUAUGAAUGAAACAAUUAUCUGGGUUGGUGAAGAGCACAAGACUAGGUCACCUGGUUCUCAUCCUCAUAUCCAACAACAACACUGUUUCACUUAAUA
This is a non-coding RNA of Zonotrichia albicollis (white-throated sparrow), 633 nucleotides long. Lineage: Eukaryota; Metazoa; Chordata; Aves; Passeriformes; Passerellidae. The record is from RefSeq and is a predicted model, not a curated record.